GGCAGGCCGCGCAGGGAACCGGUCAGGGAACAUCGUUCAAUGCGCGGGUGCAGUUGACCGGCGUCGAUGGCGCGGCGCUUCGCUACCGCGGCCUUGCGGUGCCGGACGGGAAGGUGGCGCUGCAAAUGACACUGGCCGGGCAGGGGCGCAGCGCCGCCGGAUUGACCGGUGCGCUCUCGGGCGCUGGCACGCUGACGCUGACCGAUGCGCGAAUCCCCGGACUCGAUCCACGCGCGUUCGAGGUGGCCGUUCGCG
Molecule: unclassified non-coding RNA, 255 nt
Filed under: Hevea brasiliensis (rubber tree)
Lineage: Eukaryota; Viridiplantae; Streptophyta; Magnoliopsida; Malpighiales; Euphorbiaceae
Source: RNAcentral